AUUCCUUCUCGUUGAUCAACGAGCCACGCCCGACGUUGAUUAUCACUCCUUCCUUCCCUAACGCUACCAUGACAUCCUUAUUGACCAAGUGGUAAGUUUCCUUUGUCAGUGCACAACAAAGAACAAGAACAUCACUGUUUGCAGCAAGGUCCCGGACAUUAGCAUAGAAUGGAAAUGGAACAGAUUGCUUCUUGUUUCUUGAGGUGUAGGCAAUGGUGCAGCCAAAGGCUGAGAGCCUCUUUGCAACUUCAGAACCAAUGCUUCCCAAUCCCACAAUCCCUACACGCUUUCCCCCUAGCUGUGAUUGCAUAUUUUGGUGUUAAAUGCUAGUCAUAGGUAGUUAUGAAGAAUAAGUCAUUUCAAUCAACAAAUUCCUAAAAUUUCAUAAACUAUAAGCCUAAUGUGCUAUAGCAAUGUCACAUCAUGUUGCAUUCUGCUCUGAGUUGUCCUUUAUUUGCAGAAACCAUUAUGAAAGUGAAGAUCUAUACUAUAAACCUAAAAAAGAAAGAUAGCCCAUUUAUGAUCAAGAAACAGACUUUUAUUUAGAUUUCUUUUCAUGAACCUUGGAAUAUCUAAAGGCUUAAAUUUCCACAAGACCAAAAUAUCCUAAACAAAUACCUUAAUUUUCACAACUGGAUUCCUUCACUUAUAUGUUAAAUUCAGUUACUCUAAGGUUUUUACCUUAAAACCAAGAGGGUAGGUUUCCUUAACAGGCCACAUCCGACCACGAACAAAUCUAUCAGCAGCAGAGAUUCUUCUAAGGACAUCGAUCAACAACCCAACAGCACAAUCCGCUACAUCCUCUGCGAAGGCAGAGCUAGCGUUAGUAACAACGAUGCCUCGGCUUCGACAAGCGGGGAGGUCUAUAUGAUCAAGGCCAGCACUUGUAGCCACUAUCAGCUCCAAAACGGGCAGACGGUCCAGAAACUCGGCGGAAACUAGGGUGGGGCCCAUAGUCAUGAGAGCUCUUAUGGAGGGAGCAUGACGGGCCAGAAAGGAGUCGUACGGCUCAGGCGACUCGUAAGGGUCCAGGACAUGGAAUUGAGAACGUAAAUGGUCUCCAAAAGGAAGGAUGAAUGAGGGUGGACGAUGAAGGAAGACUACAGGUAGCUCUUCGGGUUGUUGGGUUUCUUUGUCGGCCAUGGUUAGGUAGGAGAGGAUUAAGUGAUGACUCCCAAGUUUCAAAAGAAAAAAAACAGUAUAGUUUUGUUUGGUAUUAUGUGGUCAAUAUCAUCGCAUUCAUUUAUUGAAUUUUAGGUAGGGAUAAAAUUAUAUAAAAUUCUGACUCCAUUUUAUUCCUAUUGAUAAAUUAUAUUUUUCUUUCUUAAUUUUUAGUAUUUUUUUUAAAUAUUUUUAAUUAAAUUUAAAUUUUUAGGGAAAAAAUUAAAAAUUAGAAAGAAAAAUCGAAUUUUUCGCAUUUCUAUUGAAAAUGAAUAGGAAUGGCAUAGAAUUACAAUCUCAUGCAAUCUUUUCUAAUUAAGGUGAAUAGUUGAUGCAAAGUUAGUUUUCUUUUGAAUCAAAAUAAUAAUUUAAAAAAUAUUUUGAAUAUUUUUUAAACAUAAUUAUUUGUUAUUAUGCAAUAUAAUUGUGUUAGACAGAAUAGUAACUAAUAAUAAUAAUAUAAAGGCAUUCGUCAAGAUGAUUCAAGUGCCUUCAAAGAGGUUAGCAGCGGUUCUACUAUUGACUUAGUAAGUAAUACUCUCGAAGGGUGUGUGUUUUUAAAAUUUAUGUAAUUUCAGUUAAAUCUCUUCUGCCGUUUUGCUAUUGACUUAAUAAGCAUUACUCUCAAAGGGUGUGUAUUAGAAUUUUAUAUAAUUUUAUUCCGUUUUAGUUAAAUUUACCUAUAAUUUUAAAAUUUAUCAUUUUCCUUUUUUUUUUUUAUGUAUACUAUUAUAGUAGUUUUUUAAUUCAUGCUUAUUUGAUCAAAAUUCAUGGAUAUUUGACUAAAACAAUUUCUUAAUGAACUUACAAAACAUGAAGGAUUAAUCAUUGCACUCGCUUAAGUAGAUAUAUUGAAAAAAAGGUUUUGAAAUUUUCUAAUGCUUCGAUGAUUCUGCAGACAAUUUAACAAAGAUACCAACAUCUUAGUUUCGAGUAACAACAAAGAUACCAACAUCCUGAUUUCCAGUAACCAAGGUAUGGAUUUCAGUUAUUUAACCAAAUCUUUAUCCUUUCUUCAUUGAGCAUUUGUCAAUGCUUUACAUUAAAGCAAAAGAAUGAAUGGUUCAUUCAUUUGAGACUACUGAUACCAAAGGUUUAUUGGAAAAGAAGGCCUUUAAGUUGACAACAAUCAGCUGGUCCAAAGCUUCAAAGGAUUCUGGAGUCAUGACAGCGCAGUGUGGAGACAACACGACAUUAUCAAGUCCAAAUAGCUCCUUAGGGACAUUAGGCUCGUUUUCAUACACAUCAAGACCAGCACCACCCAUUUCUCCCCCCACCAAACACUGCACUAAUUCCUUCUCGUUGAUCAACGAGCCACGCCCGACGUUGAUUAUCACUCCAUCCUUCCCUAAUGCUACCAUGACAUCCUUAUUGAUCAUGUGGUAAGUUUCCUUCGUCAGUGCACAACAAAGAACGAGAACAUCACUAUUUGCAGCAAGGUCCCGGACAUUAGCAUAGAAUGGAAAUGAAACAGAUUGCUUCUUGUUUCUUGAGGUGUAGGCAAUGGUGCAGCCAAAGGCU
This 2682-nucleotide long non-coding RNA is filed under the name Gossypium barbadense (sea-island cotton). RNAcentral describes it as "long non-coding RNA (GBAR_LNC015164)". The record is from RNAcentral. Lineage: Eukaryota; Viridiplantae; Streptophyta; Magnoliopsida; Malvales; Malvaceae.